GACGAACGCUGGCGGCGUGCUUAACACAUGCAAGUCGAACGGAAAGGCCCUGCUUUUGUGGGGUGCUCGAGUGGCGAACGGGUGAGUAACACGUGAGUAACCUGCCCUUGACUUUGGGAUAACUUCAGGAAACUGGGGCUAAUACCGGAUAGGAGCUCCUGCUGCAUGGUGGGGGUUGGAAAGUUUCGGCGGUUGGGGAUGGACUCGCGGCCUAUCAGCUUGUUGGUGGGGUAGUGGCUUACCAAGGCUUUGACGGGUAGCAGGCCUGAGAGGGUGACCGGCCACAUUGGGACUGAGAUACGGCCCAGACUCCUACGGGAGGCAGCAGUGGGGAAUAUUGCACAAUGGGCGGAAGCCUGAUGCAGCAACGCCGCGUGCGGGAUGACGGCCUUCGGGUUGUAAACCGCUUUCGCCUGUGACGAGGCGUGAGUGACGGUAAUGGGUAAAGAAGCACCGGCUAACUACGUG
Molecule: ribosomal RNA, 468 nt
Filed under: uncultured bacterium
Lineage: Bacteria
Description: partial 16S ribosomal RNA
Rfam family: Bacterial small subunit ribosomal RNA
Source: RNAcentral